RNAcentral lists this ribosomal RNA (438 nucleotides) under uncultured bacterium. Its description in RNAcentral is "bacterial SSU rRNA". It matches the Rfam family "Bacterial small subunit ribosomal RNA", at positions 355 to 786 of the family's 1533-position model. The record is from RNAcentral.
UAGGGAAUUUUCGCCAAUGGGGGGAACCCUGAACGAGCAAUGCCGCGUGUGUGAAGAAGGUCUUCGGAUCGUAAAGCACUGUUGUAAGUGAAGAAUGCCACAUAGAGGAAAUGCUAUGUGGGUGACGGUAGCUUACUAGAAAGCCACGGCUAACUACGUGCCAGCAGCCGCGGUAAUACGUAGGUGGCAAGCGUUAUCCGGAAUCAUUGGGCGUAAAGGGUGCGUAGGUGGCACGAUAAGUCUGAAGUAAAAGGCAACAGCUCAACUGUUGUAUGCUUUGGAAACUGUCGAGCUAGAGUGCAGAAGAGGGCGAUGGAAUUCCAUGCGUAGCGGUAAAAUGCGUAGAUAUAUGGAGGAACACCAGUGGCGAAGGCGGUCGCCUGGUCUGUAACUGACACUGAUGCACGAAAGCGUGGGGAGCAAAUAGGAUUAGAUACC